Long non-coding RNA from Xenia sp. Carnegie-2017, 1782 nucleotides. RefSeq lists it as uncharacterized. NCBI's taxonomy places the organism in Eukaryota, Metazoa, Cnidaria, Anthozoa, Malacalcyonacea, Xeniidae. The transcript has 6 exons. The record is from RefSeq and is a predicted model, not a curated record.
UGUGAUCGUCGCCAUUUUUGUUUCCAAACAUACACUAAUAAUCUAUACCAAGGAUUAUUUAAAUACAAUAAACGUCCAAGAAACGUCGUUGUCUGUGGACAAGGUCAAGAAAUGGAUUGGCAACAAAGUUGCUUCUGUCAAAAGAAAAUGUCAAUCUAAUAAUUCGGAGUCACCUCUACCCUCAUGUAAUCCACCAAAAGUCCCCAAACCACCACCCAGAUUACGGGGGUCAAGCGGAUAUAAUCUAUUUUGCUCAGAAUUUUUUAAAUCAGAUGAAGUAAAGGGGUUGUCUCACCUGAGUGAAAAAAAUAAAUUGGCUUCUGUCAAAUGGAUUGGUUUAUGAGAAUCCGAGCAAAAUAAAUACACACAGAAAGCUAAUGACAUGAAAAACAACCCUGUGACAUUAGAUGAUGCUCAAAGAACAAGAUUGGUUGAUCAGCAUAUGAAAAUUUUAGCUGAGGAGUUCAGUUACUUGGAGUAUCUUGGUUGCCAGGCCAGCUGCUUACUGGUGAAUGGAAAAAAAAAGAACUUUAUGUCCUUGGUUCAUCAGGAGGAAAAAGAUUUGUUCACAAUGAACCAGCAGUUUUGUGCAAGUUUCAAGCAAUGUUUGGUAAAGAGUAAAAAAUUUGCAAAGAUCACAAAUUCGUAAUAGGCAUAAAGUUUAACUUCUGUUGAUAUGUCAGCACCAGUUUCAUGGAUACCAGUUACUGGAUGGUAGUCAAGUACAUACAUAUGACUAAGUUUCAGAGCUUUACUAUAAUGUCAUGUUACGUAUGGUUGCAAAAUGUUCAUCCCAUCUCAAAAUAGCAUAUUUCUAACGAUGUAGACCGAGAAAAACAGAAAUGGACUCAUGAGGAUGUAAGAAUGCUCUUUAACAAGAAGUAUAGUGAAGCAAAAGGUGUGACUGGUUCUCGCGUUCCAUAUCUUUCUGGUGGUUUUCAUGUUGAAGGACUACCAGAUAACAUUCGCCUAAAGAAGCCACGACAAUAUGGCUCAAAGGAAAUACAAAAAAUCAUGGACUGCCAGGACAGUAUUUCCUUCAUUCUUGAAGCGUCAGAAGGUGCACCUUUGUAAGAUUUUGGUGAAGACUGCAAGGAAUUGCACUGAUCUGCUCUCAAGUUUUCCCAAAGGUCUCAUUGGUUUGCAUAAGGCAAAUUGUAUUUCUCAGAUGAUAUAUGGGCAUAUGUGACGAAAAAGAUCUAAUAAAUGCCUUAUAUUAAAUUAACACCUUAUACAUAUUAAACGCCACCGCCCCCUCCUUGCAACGCUUCUUACUAAUAAAGUCCCGUCCUCGAUAGACACCCACCACCUUCACAACAUUAAAUUUAUGAUAUAUUAAUUAUAGUGGGUUCACAAUUUGGCUUAUAAGAAGUUUAGUUUGUCUUAGUUUUGUUUUAUAUUUGUUCACACAAACAACUAAUAUACACGUCUCUCUUUUCAUUUCGCUGCACCACAACAUCUAGAAUUGAUUAAACGCCCUGGCCGUUGAUAAAUUCAUUUACGGUACCAACGAACACUCAAAAUAAAGCAACAUAUAUAUCAUAAAUGAAUUCCACUUUUAACAUUUCGAAAUUCGAAUUCCGCUGCGUCGACAUUUUCACUUUACGGUGCUUUUUGUGAAAUAAACAGCACCGCAUAAUCCAAUAUCAUCGAGCAUAUGUGAUUGAUACACAAAAGUAUGCAGUAGCCAGUAGCAAUGUUUUGUUACAGCAAAUAGUUGACAGUUGUGGCUUUAAAUUUUUUUUAACAAAUUAUGUUUCAAAUAAAAUAUUGAUUUUUUUA